This is a long non-coding RNA of Gasterosteus aculeatus aculeatus (three-spined stickleback), 460 nucleotides long. NCBI's taxonomy places the organism in Eukaryota, Metazoa, Chordata, Actinopteri, Perciformes, Gasterosteidae. The record is from Ensembl.
CUCUUUCCGUUGCUCCUCUCGCUUUGAGGUAAGAAGAAUUGCGCUUCUGCCAAACGAAUCCAUGCUAAUCUUCCAUUUUUACUAAUCAUCCACAGGCACUAAUCAUUUAAUUGUAUUGUUUUUACAGAAACUUCUCCUCACGAUGAGAGCCAAGUGGAGGAAGAAGCGUAUGCGCAGGCUGAAGCGUAAAAGGAGAAAGAUGAGGCAGAGGUCCAAGUAGAUCUUCUCCCUGCCAGCUGUGAUUCCCGUCGUGGAGCCUCCAUCAGUGGACCCGAAGCCCAAGCCGUGAUUUCUGAUGACUGCGCAUCUCAUGGACACUUCUGUGGAUGGCUGAUUGGAAAAGGCAAAGACGCUGGACUAUCGACAUAAGAACAGCAGCUACAUUGUUCACGGAUCAUUACACAUAUUUACCAACUGUCAUGUGGUGAUGAACAAUAAACGAACACUGUUUAAAACUUAA